RNAcentral lists this ribosomal RNA (252 nucleotides) under uncultured bacterium. RNAcentral describes it as "partial 16S ribosomal RNA". It matches the Rfam family "Bacterial small subunit ribosomal RNA", at positions 524 to 776 of the family's 1533-position model. The record is from RNAcentral.
UACGUAGGUGGCAAGCGUUGUCCGGAAUUAUUGGGCGUAAAGCGCGCGCAGGCGGUUAUGUAAGUCUGAUGUUAAAGCCCGGGGCUCAACCUCGGUUCGCAUUGGAAACUGUGUAACUUGAGUGCAGAAGAGGAAAGUGGUAUUCCACGUGUAGCGGUGAAAUGCGUAGAUAUGUGGAGGAACACCAGUGGCGAAGGCGCCUUUCGGGUCUGUAAUUGACGCUGAGGCGCGAAAGCGUGGGGAGCAAACAGG